This 139-nucleotide transfer RNA is filed under the name Candidatus Thorarchaeota archaeon. RNAcentral's name for it is "tRNA-Ile". Lineage: Archaea; Promethearchaeati; Candidatus Thorarchaeota. The record is from RNAcentral.
GGGCCCGUGGCUUAGACUGGAAAGGUCAACGACCUUCGUUUUCCUUAGUCAAUUAUAGCGCCGCUCUGAUAAGGCGGAUAUCGCGCGUUCAAACAGUAUGGGAUUUGCCCAACUGGAAUUCAUCGCGUCGGGCCCACCA